This 628-nucleotide ribosomal RNA is filed under the name uncultured Ralstonia sp. RNAcentral describes it as "bacterial SSU rRNA". It matches the Rfam family "Bacterial small subunit ribosomal RNA", at positions 140 to 763 of the family's 1533-position model. The record is from RNAcentral. Lineage: Bacteria; Pseudomonadati; Pseudomonadota; Betaproteobacteria; Burkholderiales; Burkholderiaceae.
GGGAUAACUAGUCGAAAGAUUAGCUAAUACCGCAUACGACCUGAGGGUGAAAGUGGGGGACCGCAAGGCCUCAUGCUAUAGGAGCGGCCGAUGUCUGAUUAGCUAGUUGGUGAGGUAAAGGCUCACCAAGGCGACGAUCAGUAGCUGGUCUGAGAGGACGAUCAGCCACACUGGGACUGAGACACGGCCCAGACUCCUACGGGAGGCAGCAGUGGGGAAUUUUGGACAAUGGGCGAAAGCCUGAUCCAGCAAUGCCGCGUGUGUGAAGAAGGCCUUCGGGUUGUAAAGCACUUUUGUCCGGAAAGAAAUGGCUCUGGUUACUACCUGGGGUCGAUGACGGUACCGGAAGAAUAAGGACCGGCUAACUACGUGCCAGCAGCCGCGGUAAUACGUAGGGUCCAAGCGUUAAUCGGAAUUACUGGGCGUAAAGCGUGCGCAGGCGGUUGUGCAAGACCGAUGUGAAAUCCCCGAGCUUAACUUGGGAAUUGCAUUGGUGACUGCACGGCUAGAGUGUGUCAGAGGGGGGUAGAAUUCCACGUGUAGCAGUGAAAUGCGUAGAGAUGUGGAGGAAUACCGAUGGCGAAGGCAGCCCCCUGGGAUAACACUGACGCUCAUGCACGAAAGCGUG